AGCUAUAAGAACUUAUUUAUAGUUUAACCUGCCCAAUGUUUUAAUGAAUGGCCGCGGUACUAUGACCGUGCUAAGGUAGCGUAAUCAGUUGGCUUUUAAAUGGAGUCAGGAAUGAAUGGGAUAACCUGGUUUAGCUGUCUCCUUAUUACUAAAUUGAAUUUACUGUGUAAGUGAAAAAGCUUACGAUUGGAAGAGGGACGAGAAGACCCUUAGAAUUUUUCUUAUAUGAGUUUUAACUCUACUGGUUUUGUUGGGGCGACAAAGAAAUACUAACAACUUUCUUUUAUUUAUUUGCCGAUUAUAAUAAGAUAGGAUAAAUUACCUGAGGGAUAACAGCAUAAUUUUACAGAUAAGUUUGUGACCUCGAUGUUGGACUAGGAAACUGGUAAGCUAGCCGUUUAUUUUGUUGGUUCUGUUCGAACUUUAAUUCCU
RNAcentral lists this ribosomal RNA (432 nucleotides) under Kabeiro christianae. Its description in RNAcentral is "partial 16S ribosomal RNA". It matches the Rfam family "Archaeal large subunit ribosomal RNA", at positions 1920 to 2665 of the family's 2987-position model. The record is from RNAcentral. Lineage: Eukaryota; Metazoa; Mollusca; Gastropoda; Nudibranchia; Dotidae.